Apaloderma vittatum (bar-tailed trogon) is the source of this 73-nucleotide non-coding RNA. The record is from Rfam. Lineage: Eukaryota; Metazoa; Chordata; Aves; Trogoniformes; Trogonidae.
GGCUGGUUAGCUCAGUCAGUUGAGCAUGGCACUGACAAGGCCAAGGUUGCGGGUUCGAUUCCCGUUCGAUCCC